UUUGCCCAAAUUGUUUGCCCAAACCAAAGUUGAAGCUGAAAUGGAAGAGGAACAAUCUGCUGUUUGACCAGACUGUUUGCCCAAACAGACUGGGCAAACAGAUCAGCAGGGCAGAAGCAGAGCAUAAAAAUCAGACUGUUUGCCCAAACAGACUGGGCAAACAGGCCAGCAGUGCGCAGGCAACAGGGAAAACAGACUGUUUGCCCGAGCUGUUUGCCCAAACAACCCGAGCAAACAGCACCAGCAACCAGUAGACAGUAAAUUGCGGGAAAAUCAAAAUUCAAAUGCUCAAGAAGUCCCUCCCAAACACGUGUGGACAGCUCAGCAAACCCUAAAGACACCUCAGCACUCAAUCUCACAUAUUUAGGAAGGCAAAUUUCAUCAAAAUACAAUUACCUUCCAAGAAUUCAACUCCAAUUGGGAAAAGGAGUCCCAUCUCAACAAGAAAACCUAGGGCAGCCUCUUCAGCUAUAAAAGGGCAUGCAAACCAGCAUAUCAAGUAUCUUUGGAUCAUCAUACAUCCUCGGCAGAAGCUGCACCAGCAGCCGCACCACACCAGCAAGCCAAUUGGCCCUUUUUCUCCUUCUUUUUGCUUUCUUUCUUUUCUUUUAUGUUAGUUUCAGCCAUGAGUGGCUGAAACCCUUUUUCUAGUUGAAGAAUAAGGUGAAACUUUGGUUGUUUAUGGAUUGGGAGAUCUGAACCCUCAUGUUAUUCUUUUAUUAAUCAGUAUUUAUGCAAUUUUGUGCUUAAUUUAUUGUUGCUUUGUUGUUUUGAUCAAAUUGGCCACUUGAUUCUUGAUUGCAAAGUAAUUCUUUGUUAGUUUGGAUAGUUUGAAGUCCGUAAUUGCUUGAAUUAUUCAAACACAAGUAACCCUUGGUGUAAAAACCUAGGAAAUUGCAUAAUCUAGCAAUAUCACCAUACGUUUGGGUAGCUAGAAUUAGGUCUCUCUUUUUCUUAAUGCAAUUAAUAAUUGUUAGAUGCCAAAGGCCCAAGGACGUUCCUUGGCAACUUGUUAAUUAGUGAUUAAUUAGAGGACGUUCCCUAAAUAAUCUAUGCUUAAGGAGGGAUAUGGUUGGUGAGAAGCGUCUUCCACCUCCAUAACUAAUUUAUUGAGUUAAAUAAGAGAAUAUAAGUUUCAAUGAUCAAUCCCAACAACUAAAGUGGAUCCAACUCUUCAACUAGGCCUUUCUCAUUAUUGAAUUUCUCUACUUUAAUUAUUUUCUUUUCUCUAUUGCUUUCAAUAUUAGUUUAGUUUAUCAAACCUCAAAACCCCCAUUUUACUUUUAUUGUUUGUUUCUUUA
Molecule: long non-coding RNA, 1301 nt
Filed under: Manihot esculenta (cassava)
Lineage: Eukaryota; Viridiplantae; Streptophyta; Magnoliopsida; Malpighiales; Euphorbiaceae
Description: long non-coding RNA (MESC_LNC003885)
Source: RNAcentral